RNAcentral lists this ribosomal RNA (399 nucleotides) under Haptophyta sp. RNAcentral's name for it is "SSU rRNA". It matches the Rfam family "Eukaryotic small subunit ribosomal RNA", at positions 452 to 855 of the family's 1831-position model. Lineage: Eukaryota; Haptophyta. The record is from RNAcentral.
UGACACAGGGAGGUAGUGACAAGAAAUAACAAUACAGGGCUACUUCUAGUCUUGUAAUUGGAAUGAGUACAACUUACAUCUCUUCACGAGGAUCAAUUGGAGGGCAAGUCUGGUGCCAGCAGCCGCGGUAAUUCCAGCUCCAAUAGCGUAUAUUAAAGUUGUUGCAGUUAAAAAGCUCGUAGUCGGAUUUCGGGGCGGGCGCAGCGGUCUGCCGAUGGGUAUGCACUGUUGGGCGCGUCCUUCUUUCCGGAGACCGCGCCUACUCUUAGCUGAGCGGGCGCGGGAGACGGAUCGUUUACUUUGAAAAAAUCAGAGUGUUUCAAGCAGGCAGCUCGCUCUUGCAUGGAUUAGCAUGGGAUAAUGAAAUAGGACUCUGGUGCUAUUUUGUUGGUUUCGACC